Calidris pugnax (ruff) is the source of this 483-nucleotide non-coding RNA. The record is from the annotation of a RefSeq genome assembly. NCBI's taxonomy places the organism in Eukaryota, Metazoa, Chordata, Aves, Charadriiformes, Scolopacidae.
AUGCCGAUACCCAGGACGUGCUACAACCCCCGGGACCUUGGGGGUGACUCAAUUGUCUCCUUCCUCUCUCCCUCCCCAGGGCUGCGGGCGGCCGUGGAGCUGACGGAGUCCGGGGGGGGCACCGUGACACCCGGGGGGUCCCUCACCCUCCGCUGCAAGGGCUCCGGCUUCACCUUCAGCAGCGUCACCAUGUUCUGGGUGCGACAGGCCCCUGGGAAGGGGCUGGAGUUCGUCGCAGAAAUUAGCAACGGUGGUAGUUACACAAACUACGCGCCCACCUUCUACGCGCCGUCGGUGAAGGGUCGCUUCACCAUCUCCAAGGACAACUCCCAGAGCACGCUCAUGCUGCAGAUGAAGGACCUCAAGGAGGACGACACGGCCACCUACUACUGUGCCAAAGCUGCUGGUAGUUAUAGUUGUGGUUACGGUGCUACUGGUGCUGCUGGUGGCCCCGACCCCAUCACCGUGUCCCCACAUCCCUGA